Molecule: non-coding RNA, 201 nt
Organism: Vicia faba (fava bean)
Lineage: Eukaryota; Viridiplantae; Streptophyta; Magnoliopsida; Fabales; Fabaceae
Source: the annotation of a GenBank genome assembly
AUGUUAAACAAACGUAUGCCCAUCGAGAGCUAUGUACACUGUCAGUCUUCAUCCUUUUCAUCAUCCCUAAUCUUAUAUUGGCCCUCCACUUCAAUCUUCAAUUCCACUCAAAUAUGUGAGCUCGACCGCAGCAUUCUCGAACCUGUACAAAAAACACAGUAUAUCAAUUCAAACAAUGUUAUCCAACAAAGACCGGUUUAA